Molecule: long non-coding RNA, 2743 nt
Organism: Triticum urartu
Lineage: Eukaryota; Viridiplantae; Streptophyta; Magnoliopsida; Poales; Poaceae
Source: RefSeq, a predicted model, not a curated record
UAGGGACGGGCGAGGAAGAAAAACAGAUAGCUGGGAAAAAAAGAAGAUCAACCAGAUAACACCUCCCCUGUUUUCUCUUCCCCACGAAGCAACCUCUGCCCCUCUCCUCGUUUCUCACCUCCGCCUCUUCCUCCGGGGGCGGCUGCAGAGGGAUGGGGGCCAAGGGGGCAAGCAGGAUGGGUGGCCGGUUGAUUUCUUUGCCGGAUCUCCCAGCUAGGGUUGCCGCCGCCGCCGCCCUCACCCGCGCUCGUGCCCUCUUCAACUCCGGCUGCGAGCUCCACCCCCUCCAGCGGUCCAGCCUUCGGAGCACACGGGUGCGGAUCAAAGGCAGUGGUGGACGGGCUUGUGAAGGAGCUGCAGGAGGCGCUGGACGCGGACAUCCAGGCCGCAUCAUGAAGGAGCGGGAGAUGCAGAGCUACAUCAGGACCGCGAGCGCGAGGUCGCCGGGUUAGUCCUCGUCAAUUUGGAAUCUACAGGACUUUCCACAAGUUCUGCUGUUAAGUACCACCAUAAUCAGUGGCUGCGUUCAUGGGCAUAUUCACCGGCGCGGCGUACCGCUAUAGCUGACAGAAAGUGUGCUUUCUCAGCAUGAAGAUAAUAGAAUGGGAAGGUAUGAUCUUCAUGGGCCUUAGUGGUACUAUCAUAUUAUGACAACUGCUGCAAAGUUCAUAUAAUGAUCCUUGUUUCAGACUCAGAUCAAAGGAACAAGCUGAUCAAUAGGUUUCAGCCAUGGCUAUCCUCUCUUGCAAUUUUGUGAUGUCAGGUUUUAGCCACAUUUUUUUCGAUUAUUUUCUCAGAAUUCUCAUAAGCAUCCUCCUUGAAUAUGUAGGAAUAUUGCGUCAAGAAGAACGAUCGGGUAGAGCUUAUCACGGCAAGCUACAGGUCGUACCUAGCAGACAAGCAUUGUCUCAUGAAAGUUUACUUUUUGUAGAUGUACAAAUUGAUGUAGAAAAGGUGAAUUUAAUUUCAUCUAUACAUGACCAAUUGCUUGCUGUACAUUUGACUAAAUAAAGCAAUAAAUCAGACCAUAAGUAAAGUACUUAAUAAUUAAGUGGAUAGUGUAUGUCUGGUGAACCUAGAUAUAUGUAUGGACAAUAAAGAGACAAGGUAUUUCAAAAUUUAUUUUCAUGCUUAUAUACACAACAACUGUAGCAUAAAUACGGUUGAAGCUUUACUGCAAUAUUAAGCUGUAACAUAUAUGUGUGGUGAAUCAAGAUUGAGCACCUCAUUAUUUUUCUUAGAUUAGGACGAUACAAUUUUUUUAAUCCAUUGAGUUCCUUGUAUUGCAUAUUGUAAAAAUUAUUUUUCAUGCAUAUAUAUACGACAACUGCAGUGUAAAUACGGUUGAAGCUAUGUGCUGUCAUAUUAAAUUCUAACAUAUAUGUGUGGUAAAUAUAGAUUGAGCAUCCCAUUCAUUUGCGGGAUACGUUUUCCUUAGUCCAUUGAGUUACCUCUAUUGCAUAUUUUAAAAAUGGCUUCUUUACUCGGCUAGAUCAUUUGAACAUGCCAAGUCCAGUGAUGGUAGCUUUACUCAGUCUGAAUAUUGCUAUAGCUUAGUAGGUUCUUCCAAGAAUUUCUUUUGUGUUGCCUCUCUUUCCAGACACGCACGCACGCGCGCGCGCGUUCCGUGGUUAAUUUUGUAGAGGGUAAAAAGUUGAGGACUUAUUGUUAUGUCUAAUUGUUGACGGAAGUGCUCGAUUGUCUUGUAAGCUAGAAUUCUUAUGGUUUCUUUCUUACUGGGCUUGUUUUGUUUUAUUUUCCGAAAACCCCGUGAUUUUAUCGUAAUCCCAAAUUGCCGAGGUGGAUAAGAAUAAGGAGAAUCCAAGCCUAAUUCUUAUAUAGUUGUAAUGCACCAUAUAUACAUUGAAGUAGUAUUUAUGUAUUUCCUGAUGAAUCCAUGUAUUAUCACACUCUGAAAACCAUAAAUAUUUGAUGCAGCAAAUAUGUAGUUCCCCCAGGUGGCCUGACAUAGCUCAGUUUAUAAUGAAAGUCAUCGAACAGAAGAACCAGUCCUCUCUCUCUCUCUCUCUCUCUCCAACAAAUGACCUACUUUUUUUGGUUAAUCAGUCUGAAUUUUUUUGUACAAUCAUUCCUCAUAGGAGGUAGCAAGCAUGUCAUAACGCAUUCUGAUGCUUCCGGGCCAAAGUUAAUGGGCUUUACAGAUUUCUUUCCUCACUUUCGUCUGUCGAGCAGUUCAAGGUACCACCUAUGUAUCUCACAUAUUUGUGUAUUCUAUCUUUAGUAGAGCUGUUGCGUUGGUCUGCUUGUAACAUUCAGUCUUUGAUCACUACCACCUAUGUAUCUCACAUAUUUAUGCCUUCUAUCUUCAGUAGAGCUGCUGAGUUGGUCUGCUUGUAACAUUCAGUCUUUCAUCCCUGUGUUUUAAUAGUUCAAAUUGACAUCUGGAAUCAUUACCAAAAGAUGAAUGACUAAAAGUUGAUCAAUCUCAGCGAGACACUUGAGGAAGAUCAACUUAUGAUGGAUCAAGAAGUAUUGUGUUUCUGAUCAUGCACUAUUCUCUUUUCUGAAACAUUGAAGGUUCCUGUUAUGUUUAUCAACAUCAUGGCUCCUGUUCAUUUGCUGUGUUGACUUGCAUCUCUUUUCUCAGUCCAAUGGUUUGUUGUUGCAUGCCACCUGUCUGUAGAUGAAUAUACAUUUCUGCACAUUCAUUAUGCUAUGAUAUGGACAUAUGAUUUGAUAGUACUUGUAUUAAGAUGUGAGAUGAAUAUCCAUUGUGAGUUUA